This 466-nucleotide ribosomal RNA is filed under the name uncultured bacterium. RNAcentral's name for it is "partial 16S ribosomal RNA". It matches the Rfam family "Bacterial small subunit ribosomal RNA", at positions 28 to 507 of the family's 1533-position model. The record is from RNAcentral.
GAUGAACGCUGGCGGCGUGCUUAACACAUGCAAGUCGAACGGAAAGGCCCAAGCUUGCUUGGGUGCUCGAGUGGCGAACGGGUGAGUAACACGUGGGUGAUCUGCCCUGCACUUUGGGAUAAGCCUGGGAAACUGGGUCUAAUACCGGAUAGGACCAUCGUUUAGUGUCGGUGGUGGAAAGAUUUUCGGGGUGGGAUGAGCUAGCGGCCUAUCAGCUUGUUGGUGGGGUAAUGGCCUACCAAGGCGUCGGCGGGGAGUCGGCCUUGGAGGGUGGACGGCCCCCUUGGGACUGAGGGACGGCCCAGGCUCCUACGGGAGGCAGCAGGUGGGAAUAUUGCCCAAUGGGCGCGAGCCUGGUGCAGCGACGCCGCGGGGGGGAAGACGGCCUUCGGGUUGGAAACUCCUUUCGCCAAGGACGAAGCGUUUUGUGACGGUACUUGGAGAAGAAGCACCGGCUAACUACGUG